Molecule: ribosomal RNA, 521 nt
Filed under: uncultured bacterium
Lineage: Bacteria
Description: partial 16S ribosomal RNA
Rfam family: Bacterial small subunit ribosomal RNA
Source: RNAcentral
GACGAACGCUGGCGGCGUGCCUAAUACAUGCAAGUCGAGCGGGCCUCCGGAGGUGCUUGCACCUCCGGAAGGCCAGCGGCGGACGGGUGAGUAACACGUGGGCAACCUGCCCUUGAGGCCGGGAUAACACCGGGAAACCGGUGCUAAUACCGGAUGCGUCCCCUUUCGCGCCUGCGAGAGGGGAGAAAGACGGUCUUUAAGGCCGUCGCUCAAAGAGGGGCCCGCGGCGCAUUAGCUGGUUGGUGGGGUAAGGGCCUACCAAGGCGACGAUGCGUUGCCGACCUGAGAGGGUGAUCGGCCACACUGGGACUGAGACACGGCCCAGACUCCUGCGGGAGGCAGCAGUAGGGAAUCAUCCGCAAUGGGCGAAAGCCUGACGGUGCAACGCCGCGUGAGUGAGGAAGGUUUUCGGAUCGUAAAGCUCUGUUGUGAGGGAAGAACAGCUUCCGGAGGAAAUGCCGGAGGUUUGCCGGUACCUCACCAGAAAGCCCCGGCUAACUACGUGCCAGCCGCCGCGGUAA